GAGCGGAAGGCCCUUCGGGGUACUCGAGCGGCGAACGGGUGAGUAACACGUGAGUAAUCUGCCCCAGGCUCUGGGAUAGCCACCGGAAACGGUGAUUAAUACCGGAUACGACAACUUCCUGCAUGGGAUGGUUGUGGAAAGUUUUUCGGCCUGGGAUGUGCUCGCGGCCUAUCAGCUUGUUGGUGAGGUAAUGGCUCACCAAGGCUUCGACGGGUAGCCGGCCUGAGAGGGUGACCGGCCACACUGGGACUGAGACACGGCCCAGACUCCUACGGGAGGCAGCAGUGGGGAAUAUUGGACAAUGGGCGGAAGCCUGAUCCAGCAACGCCGCGUGAGGGAUGACGGCCUUCGGGUUGUAAACCUCUUUCAGCACAGACGAAGCGCAAGUGACGGUAUGUGCAGAAGAAGGACCGGCCAACUACGUGCCAGCAGCCGCGGUAAUACGUAGGGUCCGAGCGUUGUCCGGAAUUAUUGGGCGUAAAGGGCUCGUAGGCGGUCUGUCGCGUCGGGAGUGAAAACCAGGUGCUUAACACCUGGCCUGCUUUCGAUACGGGCAGACUAGAGGUACUCAGGGGAGAAUGGAAUUCCUGGUGUAGCGGUGAAAUGCGCAGAUAUCAGGAGGAACACCGGUGGCGAAGGCGGUUCUCUGGGAGUAUCCUGACGCUGAGGAGCGAAAGUGUGGGGAGCGAACAGGAUUAGAUACCCUGGUAGUCCACACCGUAAACGUUGGGCGCUAGGUGUGGGAUCCAUUCCACGGGUUCCGUGCCG
This 768-nucleotide ribosomal RNA is filed under the name bacterium. Its description in RNAcentral is "bacterial SSU rRNA". It matches the Rfam family "Bacterial small subunit ribosomal RNA", at positions 64 to 848 of the family's 1533-position model. The record is from RNAcentral.